Molecule: ribosomal RNA, 461 nt
Filed under: uncultured bacterium
Lineage: Bacteria
Description: bacterial SSU rRNA
Rfam family: Bacterial small subunit ribosomal RNA
Source: RNAcentral
AUGAACGCUGGCGGCGUGUUUAAGGCAUGCAAGUCGAGCGACGUGUUCCCGCAAGGGAAUUACGAGCGGCAAACGGGUGAGUAACACAUUGGUAACCUACCUCUAAGUCAGGAACAGCUCGCCGAAAGGCGAAUUAAUGCCUGAUGGUAAUGCGGGGACAUAAGUCAUUCGCAUUUAAAGAUUUAUCGCUUAGAGAGGGGCCUAUGUCUGAUUAGCUAGUUGGUGGGGUAAAGGCCUACCAAGGCUUUGAUCAGUAGCAGGCGUGAGAGCGUGACCUGCCUCACUGGGACUGAGACACUGCCCAGACACCUACGGGUGGCUGCAGUCAAGAAUAUUCCCCAAUGGCCGAAAGGCUGAGGGAGCGACGUCGCGUGCAUGAAGAAACCCUUCGGGGUGUAAAGUGCUUUUAACUGGGACGAAUCAAUGACGGUACCAGUUGAAUAAGGGGCUGCUAAACUCGU